CGCUGGCGGCGUGCUUAACACAUGCAAGUCGAACGGUGACGGAGAGCUUGCUCUCCUGAUCAGUGGCGAACGGGUGAGUAACACGUGGGCAACCUGCCCCAGACUUCGGGAUAACGCUUCGAAAGAGGUGCUAAUACCGGAUACGAACUCCUUGGGCAUCCUUGGAGUUGGAAAGUUUUCGGUCUGGGAUGGGCCCGCGGCCUAUCAGCUUGUUGGUGAGGUAACGGCUCACCCAAGGCGACGACGGGUAGCCGGCCUGAGAGGGCGACCGGCCACACUGGGACUGAGACACGGCCCAGACUCCUACGGGAGGCAGCAGUGGGGAAUAUUGCGCAAUGGGCGAAAGCCUGACGCAGCAACGCCGCGUGAGGGAUGACGGCCUUCGGGUUGUAAACCUCUUUCAGCAGGGAAGAAGCGAAAGUGACGGUACCUGCAGAAGAAGCACCGGCUAACUACGUG
Molecule: ribosomal RNA, 459 nt
Filed under: uncultured bacterium
Lineage: Bacteria
Description: bacterial SSU rRNA
Rfam family: Bacterial small subunit ribosomal RNA
Source: RNAcentral